UACAGAGGUCUCAAGCGUUGUUCGGAUUCAUUGGGCGUAAAGGGUGCGUAGGCGGCGCGGUAAGUCGGGUGUGAAAUCUUGGAGCUUAACUCCGAAACUGCAUUCGAUACUGCCGUGCUUGAGGACUGGAGAGGAGACUGGAAUUUACGGUGUAGCGGUGAAAUGCGCAGAUAUCGGGAGGAACACCAGUAGCGAAGGCGGCACUCUGGGCCGGUACUGACGCUGAGGAGCGAAAGCGUGGGGAGCAAACAGG
Molecule: ribosomal RNA, 253 nt
Filed under: uncultured bacterium
Lineage: Bacteria
Description: partial 16S ribosomal RNA
Rfam family: Bacterial small subunit ribosomal RNA
Source: RNAcentral